GCUGGGUGUGGUGGUGGGCAUCUGUAAUCCCAGCUACUUUGGAGGCUGAGGCAGGAGAAUUGCUUGAACCCAGGAGGCGGAGGUUGCAGUGAGCCGAGAUUGUGCCACUGCACUCCAGCCUGGGUGACAGAGUGAGACUCUGUCUCAA
Non-coding RNA from Pan troglodytes (chimpanzee), 148 nucleotides. It matches the Rfam family "Metazoan signal recognition particle RNA". From Rfam's summary of the family: The signal recognition particle (SRP) is a universally conserved ribonucleoprotein. NCBI's taxonomy places the organism in Eukaryota, Metazoa, Chordata, Mammalia, Primates, Hominidae. The record is from Rfam.